CAUUUAUCUUUGACGUGAUUGGUCCAGUGGGUGUCCCCUAGUAAACCAGGCCGACUGGAAACAACGGAACCCCUGGCAGGAACCGUUAACUGAGACAUGUCGUUCCAUCGGGAUUCUGGGGGUCCCAGGGGGGGAAUGCCCCCAGGUCAGCACAGCUCCGCUCAAACCUUCCGGCCCACCAACAUGAGGACCCCUCCUCCUCAGCCCCAUGUACCCCCCUACCAUUAUGACCCACAGGCGACGCCUAGUUCAGGCUACCACGGGGGCUACAUGCCCCCUGACUUUAUGCACUAUCCCCCCCCAGCCCCACCACAGACCCCCGGCUCGGUGAGCCAGUGUCCCGUACGACCGCCGUUUCCAAAGUCCACCGCGCGCCAAGGCUUCCAGGAGCCCCCGCCUAACUUUCCGCCCCCGCCUUUGCCCAGCUCUGCAGGCGGUCCUGGUCCGAGGGUGCAGGUCUCAGCUCACAGCUCCUAUCACCCCUUCAUGAUGCCCCCACCCCCUCUGCCCCGUCCACCUAUGCCUCCGCCUAUUUCCUCUCAGUCCAUGAACUACAACCUUCCAUAUCCCAUGAACUAUCCUCCUUUCCCACCUCCCACCUUCAUGCCCAGCUACUCGCAGAGUCCCGGCCCGUUUCAGCCGGACCACGGCGCCCGGCACGGGGGGCAGUUCAAGUAUGAGAAGCCCCCAGAGAGCAGGAGGUCCCCAGAAAGGAGCUUUUACCAGGACGGCCGACAGAAGAGCUACUGCUACAGCGGAGACAGGCGCAAGAUGGAGUUUUCCGGAGACAGGAAGGACCACGGGAGAAGUCCGGACAGGAACAGCCGGCCUGAGGGGGGGCGGUACCGGUCCCCUCUGCGGCCCAGGAGCAGAGAGCGGUACCGUCACAGAGACCGGCAGAGGUCGCCAUCACCUGACAAGCACAGAAAGAGGCCUCGCAGCCGCUCGUCCAGCAGAGACAGGAAACGCAGCCGCUGGGAGGAGGAGAAGGAACGGCGCUCUGAGGGCUCCUUCAGCAGGGAGCGCAGCUACUCCUCUCUCAGGACCCGGGACUCCGAAGAAGCCAGUGACCGGGAGAGAGAACGAGACAGAGAAAGGGAGGCGGCAAAGGCUGAGGAGGAGAAGGACGAGGACGAUCUGCUGAAGCCCGCCUGGAUUCGCUGCACUCACGCUGAGAGCUACUACUCCAACGACCCCAUGGACCAGGUGGGAGACUCUACCGUGGUGGGGACGAGUAAACUGCGCGAGCUGUAUGAGCGCUUUGAGGAGGAGCUGGGAAAAAGGCAGGAGCGGGCCAAGGAGGCCAGACCCAAGUGGGAGCCGCCCAAAACCAAACUGGACGAGGAUCCAGAUGACAGCAGCAGCGACUCGGACUGCGAGUCAGACGAGGAUGGCAGCAGCUGCUCCAGCAGCUCCGACUCCGAGGUUUUUGACGUCAUCGCUGAGAUCAAGAGGAAGAAAGCCCAUCCCGACCGGCUGCACGAGGAGCUGUGGUACAACGACCCCGGACAGAUGAACGACGGUCCCCUGUGCAAGUGCAGCGCCAAGGCCAGACGGACGGGGAUCCGCCACAGCAUUUACCCCGGAGAGGAGCCUGUGAAACCCUGCCGUCCCAUGAACAACAACGCUGGGAAGCUCUUCCACUACCGGAUCACCGUGUCUCCUCCCACAAACUUCCUGACGGACAGACCGACGGUGAUCGAGUACGACGACCACGAGUAUCUGUUUGAAGGCUUCUCGCUCUUCUCCCACACGCCUCUCACCAGUAUUCCGUUGUGCCGUGUGAUCCGCUUCAACAUAGAUUACACCAUUCACUUCAUAGAGGAGAUGGCGCCGGAGAACUACUGCGUUCGAGGCCUGGAGCUGUUCGCCUCCUACCUGUUCCAGGACAUCCUCGAGCUGUACGACUGGAACCUGAAAGCUCCGGACAGCGAAGGCGAGGCCUCAGGAUGCCAGCAGUUCCACUUCAUGCCCCGUUUCGUCAGAUUCUUACCUGACGGCGGGAAGGAGGUGCUGUCCAUGCACCAGGUGCUGCUGUACCUGCUCUGCAGCAGCAAGGCCCUGGUUCCCGAGGAGGAGAUCGCCGACAUGCUGCAGUGGGAGCAGCUGGACUGGCAGAAGUACGCAGAGGAGUGCAAAGGCAUGAUCGUCACCAACCCGGGCAUGAAACCCAGCUCCGUGCGCAUCGACCAGCUGGACAGGGAGCAGUUCAACCCGGACGUCAUCACCUUCCCCAUCAUCGUCCACUUCGGGAUCCGACCGGCUCAGCUCAGCUACGCCGGAGACCCUCAGUACCAGAAGCUGUGGAAGAGUUAUGUGAAACUGCGCCACCUGCUGGCAAACAGCCCAAAGGUCAAGAAGCUGGACAAGCAGAAGCUGUCACAAAGAGAGGAAGCUCUUCAGAAGAUCCGUCAGAAGAACACCAUGCGGCGCGAGGUGACGGUGGAGCUCAGCAGCCAGGGCUUCUGGAAAACCGGCAUCCGCUCCGACGUCUGCCAGCACGCCAUGAUGCUGCCCGUCCUGACCCACCACAUCCGCUACCACCAGUGCCUGAUGCACCUGGAUGAGCUGAUUGGCUACGUCUUCAAGGAGCGCUGCCUCCUGCAGCUCGCCAUGACGCACCCCAGUCACCACCUCAACUUCGGCAUGAAUCCCGAUCACGCCCGCAACUCUCUGUCCAACUGCGGUAUUCGCCAGCCCAAAUACGGGGACAGGAAGGCCCACCAGAUGUACAUGAGGAAGAAAGGAAUCAACACCCUGAUUAACAUCAUGUCUCGCCUUGGGCAGGAUGACCCCUCCCCAUCCAGGAUCAAUCACAACGAAAGGCUGGAGUUCCUGGGCGACGCCGUGGUGGAGUUCCUCACCAGCGUCCAUCUGUACUAUCUGUUUCCAAGCUUAGAGGAGGGCGGUCUGGCCACCUACAGGACGGCCAUCGUUCAGAACCAGCACUUAGCCAUGCUGGCCAAGAAACUGGAGCUGGAUCGCUUCAUGCUGUACGCUCAUGGGCCGGACCUGUGCCGGGAAUCGGACCUGCGACAUGCAAUGGCCAACUGCUUUGAAGCUCUCAUUGGCGCUGUGUAUUUGGAAGGAGGUUUGGACGAGGCGCGACUGCUCUUUGGUAGACUGCUCUUCAACAGUGAGGAUCUCCGGGAGGUCUGGCUCAACUAUCCAGCGCACCCCCUGCAGGUUCAGGAGCCUCAGACCGACCGGCAGCUGAUCGAGACGUCUCCGGUUCUGCAGAAGCUGACCUCCUUUGAGGAUUCCAUCGGCGUGUUUUUCACGCAUGUGCGCCUGCUGGCCCGAGCCUUCACCCUCAGGACGGUGGGCUUCAACCACCUCACCCUAGGCCACAACCAGAGGAUGGAGUUCCUGGGAGACUCCAUCAUGCAGCUGGUUGCUACUGAAUAUCUCUUCAUCCACUUCCCAGACCAUCAUGAAGGACAUUUGACGCUCCUCCGCAGCUCUCUGGUCAACAACCGCACACAGGCCAAGGUGGCAGAGGAGCUGGGCAUGCAGGAGUUUGCCAUCACCAACGACAAAACCAAGCGACCCGUGGCGCUGCGGACCAAGACUCUGGCGGAUUUACUGGAGUCUUUCAUCGCCGCUCUCUACAUCGACAAAGAUCUGGAGUACGUUCACACCUUCAUGAACGUGUGCUUCUUCCCUCGGCUGAAGGAGUUCAUUCUGAACCAGGACUGGAACGACCCCAAAUCGCAGCUGCAGCAGUGCUGUUUGACCCUGAGGACCGAGGGCAAGGAGCCCGACAUCCCCCUCUACAAGACCCUUCAGACGGUGGGGCCCUCGCACGCCCGCACGUACACGGUGGCGGUCUACUUUAAGGGGGAGCGCAUCGGCUGUGGCAAAGGCCCGAGUAUCCAGCAGGCAGAAAUGGGGGCCGCGAUGGACGCACUGGAAAAAUAUAACUUCCCACAGAUGGCUCAUCAGAAGCGCUUCAUCGAGCGGAAAUACCGACAGGAGCUGAAGGAGAUGAGACGGGAGCGGGAGCGGCAGGAGAAGGAGAGCGACGAGGCGGAGGAGUGCAGGAAGUGACAGCGGUCAGGACCAGCCAAACCUGCAGCUCCUGCAACAAAGACUGGGGGGAGCCUCCGGGCCCCCCCGCCUGCUGUGUGAAGGAGUCUCACGACAGCAGGAGAUCAUGUGAGACUCCUGGGAGGCCCGUGGCUGCUGUCACGUUUGUCACGUUGUGGAUUUCCUGCUGUUUGUCCAGAAGAACGUCACACAAAGGAAGGGCUUUUUAAAGAGAUUUAAUUGUCAUAUAAAUAUCCAGUACAAAAUAUCACGGUUUACAAAGCAGUGUGAUGGACGGCCCCUCCUCCACCACAGCCUCUCCGUUUCUACAAGAACUACACGGGAACACCACGCAGAGCUGAACCCAGCAUCAACAACCAAACAUCUAGGCUUUCUGGAGCAACCCCGCCCUAAAACACAAGGAGGAAUCAGACGCGGGGGCGUGGCCAGCGCUCAGCGGCCGCUCUCCUGUCCAAUAGAAGCACGUGGGCGUGAUGUGCCGGCGGCCCGUACCCAAACAGUCAAAUACGGAAUCUAAAAACGUUGAUUUCCUGUGGUGGAGCCGUUUCCAGCAGCAGAUGAUAUGACAUCGCCACCCGGUCCAUUCAGCGGGCUGGGGGGGGGUGAACGUCAGCCUCUGCACAGGUGGACCUUUAAAGUGAGAGCAGCCCCCCCUUAACCUCACAGGAGCUCCAGCAGGAAGCUGGCAGUGCUGCUGCUUUAACAUCCUUUAUUUCUAAAUCAGCUCUAAAAGCUGCGGCGUCCUCCUGGAAGAGACGACCUUCUCCGUGAGACAAGGACGCCAUUAUGUGUCUGCAAGCAGAGCGUCUUGAUGGUCCCUCAGGAAAUCAGCUCACCCCCCCCACUCCACUCCACGGACUGAGCUCCUGAAAGGAAAGUACUGCUGCUCUUCUGCUGUUUGGCAUCUUUCUGCUGCAAUACUGGGGAAAAUAUCUGCCCCCCCCUCUUCCAGAUGAUUGUUUGCAUGCCUCAGUCCAACCGCUGAAUUCAGACUUUUAUUGUGGAAAUAUGCAAACAUGAGGGAAGUAGGAGCAGAUCUGAGAUGAUUUGAACUAUAAAGGGAAUGUGUCCACCUCUGCUUUCUUCCCAUCCUGUAAAUAACCCCCCCCCCCCCCCCCCCCCCCCCUACA
Non-coding RNA from Oryzias latipes (Japanese medaka), 5180 nucleotides. Lineage: Eukaryota; Metazoa; Chordata; Actinopteri; Beloniformes; Adrianichthyidae. The record is from RefSeq and is a predicted model, not a curated record.